Molecule: ribosomal RNA, 1343 nt
Filed under: uncultured bacterium
Lineage: Bacteria
Description: 16S ribosomal RNA
Rfam family: Bacterial small subunit ribosomal RNA
Source: RNAcentral
GACGAACGCUGGCGGCGUGCUUAACACAUGCAAGUCGAACGGAAAGGCCCUGCUUUUGUGGGGUGCUCGAGUGGCGAACGGGUGAGUAACACGUGAGUAACCUGCCCUUGACUUUGGGAUAACUUCAGGAAACUGGGGCUAAUACCGGAUAGGAGCUCCUGCUGCAUGGUGGGGGUUGGAAAGUUUCGGCGGUUGGGGAUGGACUCGCGGCUUAUCAGCUUGUUGGUGGGGUAGUGGCUUACCAAGGCUUUGACGGGUAGCCGGCCUGAGAGGGUGACCGGCCACAUUGGGACUGAGAUACGGCCCAGACUCCUACGGGAGGCAGCAGUGGGGAAUAUUGCACAAUGGGCGGAAGCCUGAUGCAGCAACGCCGCGUGCGGGAUGACGGCCUUCGGGUUGUAAACCGCUUUCGCCUGUGACGAAGCGUGAGUGACGGUAAUGGGUAAAGAAGCACCGGCUAACUACGUGCCAGCAGCCGCGGUGAUACGUAGGGCGCGAGCGUUGUCCGGAUUUAUUGGGCGUAAAGGGCUCGUAGGUGGUUGAUCGCGUCGGAAGUGUAAUCUUGGGGCUUAACCCUGAGCGUGCUUUCGAUACGGGUUGACUUGAGGAAGGUAGGGGAGAAUGGAAUUCCUGGUGGAGCGGUGGAAUGCGCAGAUAUCAGGAGGAACACCAGUGGCGAAGGCGGUUCUCUGGGCCUUUCCUGACGCUGAGGAGCGAAAGCGUGGGGAGCGAACAGGCUUAGAUACCCUGGUAGUCCACGCUGUAAACGGUGGGUACUAGGUGUGGGGUCCAUUCCACGGGUUCCGUGCCGUAGCUAACGCUUUAAGUACCCCGCCUGGGGAGUACGGCCGCAAGGCUAAAACUCAAAGGAAUUGACGGGGCCCCGCACAAGCGGCGGAGCAUGCGGAUUAAUUCGAUGCAACGCGUAGAACCUUACCUGGGUUUGACAUGGAUCGGGAGUGCUCAGAGAUGGGUGUGCCUCUUUUGGGGUCGGUUCACAGGUGGUGCAUGGCUGUCGUCAGCUCGUGUCGUGAGAUGUUGGGUUAAGUCCCGCAACGAGCGCAACCCUUGUUCACUGUUGCCAGCACGUUAUGGUGGGGACUCAGUGGAGACCGCCGGGGUCAACUCGGAGGAAGGUGGGGAUGACGUCAAGUCAUCAUGCCCCUUAUGUCCAGGGCUUCACGCAUGCUACAAUGGCUGGUACAGAGAGUGGCGAGCCUGUGAGGGUGAGCGAAUCUCGGAAAGCCGGUCUCAGUUCGGAUUGGGGUCUGCAACUCGACCUCAUGAAGUCGGAGUCGCUAGUAAUCGCAGAUCAGCAACGCUGCGGUGAAUACGUUCCCGGG